GGAGGAGAAAGAGAGAAUCUUGAGCAGACUCCCUGCUAAGCCGAGGGCCUGCCACUGAGCUCAAUCCCAGGACCCCAAAGUCAUGACCCUAUCUUAACCUGAAUCCAACACUCAGCCAACUGAGCUACCCAGGUGCCCCUAGAACUGAAUUUUCAAACUUAGUUAUCUCCUGGAUUUCUUUUUUGUAAAUAGCCUCAGCAUGUAUAUCCAUAAUUAUUGUUUCAACCUAUUGUUCUGUAAACUGCAAGAAACCACAAUCACAAAGUUCAUUAUUCACUUUUCACAUACCUUCCACUUGCACAGCUUUGUAGUAUAGUACUCAGUUCCCUAUUUGUUAUCAUCCCAGAACUAUAUAGGAGCUCUGUGAUGGAGAUGGAUGGAACAAUUAGCAUCACCAUUGCUUUCAAGAGGGGAAACUGAAAGUCUAAGACAAAAAUGGGAACCCAAGAUCAUCAACUGGCCUUCAUACUCAGUCUUCUGCCUCCAGAGUCAGCCCAGAGAUGUCAUGAAUAAGACCUGUCAGACAUUGGAGCCUACAUCCACUCUUCUCUGGUGCAGUGGGCAGGACCUUAAUCUCAAAUACAGUAAGCUUCAGUAACCUCUGUAUGAAAGCCCUGGCAUAUACAGACUGUCCAUAACAGAAUCAGCCUAAACACCAUAUGCUACAUUGAAAAUACCCUACAGAAAAUC
This 690-nucleotide long non-coding RNA is filed under the name Canis lupus familiaris (dog). Its description in RNAcentral is "lncRNA (ENSCAFG00000040730.3, ENSCAFG00845010113.1)". The record is from RNAcentral. Lineage: Eukaryota; Metazoa; Chordata; Mammalia; Carnivora; Canidae.